This 446-nucleotide ribosomal RNA is filed under the name uncultured bacterium. RNAcentral describes it as "partial 16S ribosomal RNA". It matches the Rfam family "Bacterial small subunit ribosomal RNA", at positions 338 to 795 of the family's 1533-position model. The record is from RNAcentral.
CCUACGGGGGGCAGCAGUCGAGAAUCAUUCACAAUGGGGGAAACCCUGAUGGUGCGACGCCGCGUGGGGGAAUGAAGGUCUUCGGAUUGUAAACCCCUGUCAUGUGGGAGCAAAUUAAAAAGAUAGUACCACAAGAGGAAGAGACGGCUAACUCUGUGCCAGCAGCCGCGGUAAUACAGAGGUCUCAAGCGUUGUUCGGAAUCACUGGGCGUAAGGCGUGCGAAGGCUGUUUCGUAAGUCGUGUGUGAAAGGCGCGGGCUCAACCCGCGGACGGCACAUGAUACUGCGAGACUAGAGUAAUGGAGGGGGAACCGGAAUUCUCGGUGUAGCAGUGAAAUGCGUAGAUAUCGAGAGGAACACUCGUGGCGAAGGCGGGUUCCUGGACAUUAACUGACGCUGAGGCACGAAGGCCAGGGGAGCGAAAGGGAUUAGAUACCCCUGUAGUC